AUUCCAUUAUGAUGUAUUGAUAUCAUGUGAGAUGCCUUGCAUGCUUGUGGGGAGAGUUCCCUAUGAGUGUACGACGGUUGCCAUGAUCCUUGGUCUAUGUCUCAGAUUGGAGGUGAGAUAAUUAAUAUGGUAUCAAAGCAUAAGUGGAUAAAUUAUGACACAGAACAGACAUGAGUUUAGGUAGAUAGACACUAGGGAC
RNAcentral lists this long non-coding RNA (199 nucleotides) under Elaeis guineensis (African oil palm). Its description in RNAcentral is "long non-coding RNA (EGUI_LNC049307)". The record is from RNAcentral. Lineage: Eukaryota; Viridiplantae; Streptophyta; Magnoliopsida; Arecales; Arecaceae.